Molecule: ribosomal RNA, 459 nt
Filed under: uncultured bacterium
Lineage: Bacteria
Description: bacterial SSU rRNA
Rfam family: Bacterial small subunit ribosomal RNA
Source: RNAcentral
CCUACGGGUUGCAGCAGUGAGGAAUAUUGGACAAUGGGUGGAAGCCUGAUCCAGCCAUCCCGCGUGCAGGAAGACGGCCCUAUGGGUUGUAAACUGCUUUUAUCUGGGGAUAAACCUACUUACGUGAAGUAGCUGAAGGUACCAGAAGAAUAAGCACCGGCUAACUCCGUGCCAGCAGCCGCGGUAAUACGGAGGGUGCAAGCGUUAUCCGGAUUUAUUGGGCUUAAAGGGUCCGUAGGCGGACUAGUAAGUCAGUGGUGAAAUCCGACAGCUUAACUGUCGAACUGCCAUUGAUACUGCUAGUCUUGAGUAAGGUUGAAGUGGCUGGAAUAAGUAGUGUAGCGGUGAAAUGCAUAGAUAUUACUUAGAACACCAAUUGCGAAGGCAGGUCACUAAGUCUUAACUGACGCUGAUGGACGAAAGCGUGGGGAGCGGACAGGAUUAGAUACCCUAGUAGUC